This 492-nucleotide ribosomal RNA is filed under the name uncultured bacterium. Its description in RNAcentral is "partial 16S ribosomal RNA". It matches the Rfam family "Bacterial small subunit ribosomal RNA", at positions 28 to 507 of the family's 1533-position model. The record is from RNAcentral.
GAUGAACGCUAGCUACAGGCUUAACACAUGCAAGUCGAGGGGAAACGGCAUCGAAAGCUUGCUUUUGAUGGGCGUCGACCGGCGCACGGGUGAGUAACGCGUAUCCAACCUGCCCAUCACUUGGGAAUAACCUUGCGAAAGUAAGACUAAUGCCCAAUGACAUCCCACGAAGGCAUCCGAAUGGGAUUAAAGAUUUAUCGGUGAUGGAUGGGGAUGCGUCUGAUUAGCUUGUUGGCGGGGUGACGGCCCACCAAGGCAACGAUCAGUAGGGGUUCUGAGAGGAAGGUCCCCCACAUUGGAACUGCGACACGGUCCAAAAUCCUACGGGAGGCAGCAGUGAGGAAUAUUGGUCAAUGGGCGAGAGCCUGAACCAGCCAAGUAGCGUGCAGGAUGACGGCCCUAUGGGUUGUAAACUGCUUUUAUAAGGGAAUAAAGUGGGUCACGUGUGACUUUUUGCAUGUACCUUAUGAAUAAGGACCGGCUAAUUCCGUG